Molecule: ribosomal RNA, 465 nt
Filed under: uncultured bacterium
Lineage: Bacteria
Description: partial 16S ribosomal RNA
Rfam family: Bacterial small subunit ribosomal RNA
Source: RNAcentral
GACGAACGCUGGCGGCGUGCUUAACACAUGCAAGUCGAACGGAAAGGCCCUGCUUGCAGGGUACUCGAGUGGCGGACGGGUGAGUAACACGUGGGUGAUCUGCCCUGCACUUCGGGAUAAGCCUGGGAAACUGGGUCUAAUACCGGAUAGGAGCCAUUUUUAGUGUGAUGGUUGGAAAGUUUUUUCGGUGUAGGAUGAGCUCGCGGCCUAUCAGCUUGUUGGUGGGGUAAUGGCCUACCAAGGCGGCGACGGGUAGCCGGCCUGAGAGGGUGGACGGCCACAUUGGGACUGAGAUGCGGCCCAGACGCCUACGGGAGGCAGCAGUGGGGAAUAUUGCACAAUGGGCGCAAGCCUGAUGCAGCGACGCCGCGUGGGGGAUGACGGCCUUCGGGUUGUAAACUCCUUUCGCUAGGGACGAAGCUUUUUGUGACGGUACCUAGAUAAGAAGCACCGGCUAACUACGUG